UAGAGCAGGGCUGCUGUGCUCCCAGGAGCACGGAGGUCUCCGUGCUCCUGAGCUAUUUUCGAAGAUAAAAUUUUCGAAUCAACGAUUGGUUCUGUUAGACUUGAUUUAGGGUAUUUGAAGUUUCUAGAAAAUAAUUUUUACAAUUUUUUGAUAUCUUUUACCUAGUGAUCAAAAGAAUUCAAAAUUAAUCAUUUUUAAUGGUUGAUAUCUGUCAUUUCCAAAUUUAACGGUAUAGAAGUAUUCAAAUCAGAUAAAAUUUUGAUACAAAAUUCUUUAUACUAUUUACAAUAAGAUCAAUAUUUCUGAUCGAAAAUUUUAGUAAUAUAUCACCACUUUUUAUAGAAUUUUUAUUUUCAGCCGUUAAAAAUUAUUGAUUUUGAAUCCUUUCAAUUGCUAGGCAAAUGAUAUCGAAAAAUCGCAAAAAUUAUUUUCUAGAAACUUCAAAUACGUUAGAUCAAGUCUAACGGAGCCGAUCGUCGAUUCGAAAAUUCCAUCACCGAAAACGGCUCAGGAGCACGGAGGCCUUCGUGCUCCUGAGAGCACAGCAAUCCUUAUAUAUAUAUAUAUAUAUAUAUAUAGAGAGAGAGAGAGAGAGAGAGAGAGUGAGUCCGGCUAUAGUAUUUUUAUGAGUAUAGUUUUUUUUAUACUCAUAAAUUUUCGACUGUAAAUCUAUCAUUUUAAUCAUUUUUAUCCGUUAGAUCAUACUAUUUAACCAACAACUCAUUCAAUCUUAGAACUUCAUUUGGUUCGGGUAUAAGUAAGAACUAUUUAUUUCAAAAAUAAGUAUAAGUUUAGACCAAUUUUACGUUUGGAUAAAGAUCGAAUUAUUUUCUGGAAUAAGAAAAAUAACGUUUAAAUAGAUAAAAUAGAAUAAGAAGAAUGGUGAAUACUUAUAAAUAGAAAAUAUGGAAUAAGAAGAAUGGUGAAUAGUUGUAAAUAGAAAAUAAUGGAAUAAGAAGAAUGGUGAGUAGUUAUAACUAGAAAAUAAUGAUAUUGCCCCUUAUAUUAUAUUUGAAUUUGAAUUUUUAAAUUUUAUAUUUAAUUUUUUAAAUUUAAAUAUAUAACUUUUAAAUUUUAAAAAUUUAAAAUUUAAAUUUAAAUUUUUAAAUCUCAAAUUCAAAAAUUCAAUGUUCUAAUUUUUAAAUUUUAAAUUUUAUAUUUAAGAUUAAAUCUAAAUUUAAAAAUCUAAGACAUUACAUUUUAAUUUUAAAAAUUUUAAAAUAUCAAUUUAAAAUUUAAUAUUUAGAAUUUAAAAUUAUAAAAUAUUAAUUUUAAGAUUAAAAAAUAUAAAAUUUAAAAUUUAAAAUUUAAAUUUAAAUUUUUAAAUUUUUAAAUUUAAAUUUUUUUAAAAAUUAAAUAGGGAUGGGAACAGCUAUUCCAACUGUUCCCACCCCUAUUUCUAUCCCCCAAUUUUCCAACCAAACGCCACCUAGGGGACCACUAUCAUUCUAAUCCCCAACCAAACGCUAUAUAUAUAUAUAUAUAUAGAUAGAUAGAUAGAUAUAUAUCCCAAUAAUAUGAAAAUACUUAUAUCUGAGAAAAUAUAAGUAUUUAAAGAUCGACAACUUACUUCUCUACACGCCAAUUCUAUCAUUAUUAAGAGCUAAUCUUACUAUCACCAGAGGAUCUACNUUUAAAUUAAAAAGUGAAAUUUAAAUUAGAGAAAUUUUAUAUUAUUAUUUAAAGUUUAAAUUCAAUGAUCAUAUUGUCAAAUCAUUUGAAAUUUUCCUUAUAUGAAAUGCCAAAUUAUAAAAGGAAAGAUAGAGAGAGCAAAAGGAAACAAAGAAAAAAUAAAAAUUUUGAAACUAUAGUAGAUGUAAAAUGACUAAAUUGCCCAUGUAUUAAAAGACAAAAAUAUCCUUUUUUAAGGUACCUGGUAACCGAUAGCUCUUCCAAAGUGACCUGCUAUUACAGGUCACAAUUUUAAAAAAAUUAAAUCUGAGUCGUUGAAUACGCGUGAAUGAACGAUAAUAAAAAAAAAAAAAGUAUAGAAACAUUACUCAUAAAAUAUAU
Molecule: long non-coding RNA, 2013 nt
Filed under: Ananas comosus (pineapple)
Lineage: Eukaryota; Viridiplantae; Streptophyta; Magnoliopsida; Poales; Bromeliaceae
Description: long non-coding RNA (ACOM_LNC040498)
Source: RNAcentral